UUAAUUACUUGAAUAUUGUAUUUUGGUAAGGUCCACGUCUGUAAUCUGAGUUUGUGGAAGCGAUUCCUCUCGACAACAAAAGUGCGUCCAUAAGUCCAAGUUAACAUCAUGGUCCACAAGGUCACCGGCCACAUUAACCAUAGAUACCACUUCGAUUCUUGAGGGUUGGAAGCCAAGCAGGCAAGUCCAAGCCGUAAAUGAUAGAUGGAAUCUGGUGUGGUAAGAUGAGUUAGAUGCACUACAUCAGGGGCUUCCUCGGGUCUCUUGAGCGAAUCUUCAUAGAGGGUAACAGAAGACGUGUCCAUUGUGCCAUAGAUGUAAUCAUAGAUGGGCAUGAAUAGUGAGUAAUUGGUUCUGAAUUGAGUGUGGUGAAGAGAGUGGUACCUGCAGCCAUAUCAAGUGUUUAUUAGUUCAUCAUGGAGGGAGUAACUAGUUCUAAACUGGCUUUGGUGAAGAGAGUUGGAACUUGCAGCUGCAUCAAAUGUUAAAUCAUGCAUUCGCGCUUAUCAGAUAUUGUUUUGAACACUGAUUAAUAGACAACGCAAUAAUGCACUGUCAGUGAAAAUAUAGUGGAAAAGGUGAAAUGUACGCGUCAAAGCUAUUAAAAUACAGUAUAAAAUCACAAAACGAUACUAUGGAAUUAUAAUUAACAGAGUAUUUUCCAUAGACGACUGUAUAUUCUUUUCAUCUUCUUUUUAUGCAAAAUUUGGUGAAUCAUUUUCCUGCUUUUUGUUCAUAAGUAUGGAAGAAAUCCCAUUAAUAAAACGAAGAGGAUACUGGUGAGAAUUAAUGAUUGAAAAUGCAAAAAAUCAACUGAGAUACAUCUAGACUUACGAUGGGGUGUACAUGAGGUACUUGAGAGGGGGGAAAAUGAUGAAGAGCCAUCUGGGAAUGAGUUCAAAGUUGCAGUGACCCAUGUUGUUCAUCAAGUCGAUGUAAGUGAUAUAACCAGCAAAGGAUGUUAAAGAGGCUGUCCCCGUCACAAUAGUCGUUAUCAAAGGUAUUGCGAAUAGCAUGGAGUAGGAUAUGUGCUCGGCGAAUGGAUGAAUCACAGCUGCGAUGCAGAUUUCCAGAAAGAAAAUGUCAAAUAAUUACACUUACUGUAUAUCAUCAUCAUGUAUUGCUAAUAGUAAUGGAGAAUGGUAUGCGUUCCCCUCAAUCACACACAAGAUUUUUCUUCCGUUAUUAUAAAAAUACGCGAACUUAAAACCUUCUAUGAAAGGUCAAUUAAACUAAGUUUAUCAACGAUCACACAAGAUUAUUAAUAAUUCAAAUGCACACCAUAUAUAAAUGUGUGUCAUUCUUCUUAAGGAGUACUUAAGAGAUUAACUAUUCACUUUGAAAUUCUUAAAUAACUUUUAAACCACCAACACCAUAUAUACAUGGGGGCCGGGGGUGUUUGGAGGGAGACUUACAAGUAAUGGGCUCUGUGACAAUGGAGGAAUGGUGGUGGGAAUGAUAGCGAGAGUAGAGAUAGUGGUGAUGAAGAAGUCGAUGAAGCCAAUAAUACAGAAAUUCCACCGGACCCAUAUGAAUCAGAGCUGUUAGAAUUACACCAUCUAACCUCCACAUGGGGAGAUGGCUAGCUCCUGGAAUUAUUUUGCUACCAACGUAGAAUAAAAUUCCAUUGAACAAUAUUUGGUCAUCCCUGCGGAUAUCCAACCAGAAAAUCCAAGUAUCAAAAAACUCACAAGCACUAGAGUGGAAAUUAAUGCAUGAAAUUAUUGAAAAAGUAUAUAUAUAUAUUUGAUUAUACAAAUACCAGUUGCUUUCUCUAUCAACUUGAUCAAAUUCAAUGCCUUUGUCAAUAAUCCUGUUAUUUCCUUUGGCUGUUCUGUAACGGGACAGGCUGAUCCAUAACUGGUUGUGAAGAACUCUCCACAACAGAAUUGGGAAAAUGAGAAAGCUUGGGAGAUCUUUUUCAUCUUUAACCAUAAAGGCGUAGAUGUUGUGAAUGACACAAGGAGCCAAUAUUACAUGCUGCAAUAUUUAAACACACAAACAAAACACAGAUAUAUAUUAUUGUUUUAGGGUUAUGAUAUAUUAACGUUGUUUGCACGAAAACGAGUUACUCUACGUGUGAUAUCAGAUAACGAGAAGAAAAGGAGCGAGAGAGAGAGAUGGGAGGGAUUUCCAUAUGACCUUAAAGCUUCCAAGAGGUUUCCAUGGCCAGUCUGUGAGAAUUCCAGGCCGAGAAGCCAUCACUUCACUGCUACUACUUGUCUUUGUUUCCUCGCUUGUAGCUAGGGAAGUCGUGUAUUUAUAGACGAUGAGUAAUAUAUUUUCUUUAGCGUUAACGUUAUAAUUAUUGAUGAGUAAUGUUUUUUUAAUAACAGUACUGCCGCUCGAUCAAGUUAGAGCUGAGUAAAUUAUAAAUUAAUCCUUUUAAUUUUGGAAAAUAAAUUAAUUAGUCAUCUUCUUAAAAAAAAAACAAAUUAUUCAGUUUUUUUGAUCUAUUAUAUGUUAUUUUCUAAAUUAUGUUUUAAUAAAUAAAUAGAUAUUAUGGAAAGAUUGAUGAGAAAAGUAGAUAUUUUUGUAAAUAAAUUAAUAUGAAAGUAAGCAUGAUUAACAAUGAUAAGUGAUUAAAUAAUUAAAAUAGAUUGGUCAACCAUAUUUGUAAAACGAUACAUGUUUCAAUAUACUAAACUCUCUUGCAGGGUAUUCUUUGUCUUUUUACCAUGGCUUUCUUUUUAUUAAUAUCAAGGUUACUCAUGAUGAUUAUUAUAUAUAAUCAUAUAUUAAAUAUUAUUAAAAAAAAAUUUAGUUUGUGCGUCGAGCUAAUAAGCAGGCGUCAUGUCAUUUGGACAGUAUAUGUGAGGUCAUGCAGUUAUCAAACACCACCUACUGCAGUAGUAUUUGAAUCAUCUCAGCGUCAUCUCCUUGAAGAGGUGACACGUGUUUCAAACGACCCUUCAGUUUGGCAUCAAUGGUCUUUUCAUCCUUUUCUUUUUUUCUCUAUCUUGAUUUUCGCACUACCCCUUAAAAAUCUUAAAACAUCCCAUUCAAUUUGUAUUUUAUUAAGAUUUUGUUCUUUUUAUUUUUAUUACUAAUUAUUUUAUUUUGAAUAACUUAUAGAAUUAGAAUUCUUUUUCAAUUUCAUCCCCCUUCAAUUUUUUAACCUUUCAAAUUUGGUCAUCAUUCUUUUAAUUGUUGUUUAUUUUAUUUGAGAUAAUUUUUAAAAUUGAUUUUUUUUCCAUUUUAUCCUCAUUGAGUUUUUUCCUAUCAAAUUUGAUCCUUUUUCUUUUGAUUGGUAUUUUUUAUUUUGAAAGAAAUUUUAAAUUUAUUUUUUUUCAAUUUCAUCCUUGAACAUUAAAUUAAUUGGGAAUUGAGCUUUUCAGUUGAGCUCAGGUCUAGGAUUUCAUGGGCUGCAAGUUUUAAAGAUUAGCCAAGGUUUAGAAGGCUUGCUCGGAUUUGCUUGAUUUUUUUUAUUCAUUUAGGCUUUUUUUUACUUUCAUCCAUUUAUUCAAUUUGAGAUUAAGCUCCAUUAUUUUUAUUUAUUUUAUUGUUUUAGAAUUUUACACUAAUUUUUAAAAUGUACCAGGUUAUUUCAGGUCUUUUUUUUAUUUUUCGUUCUUUGUUGAAUUUCUUUUGCCAAUUUUUUAAAUUGAUAAUUUUUUUAUAAUUUCAUCUUUCAAUAUCUAGAAUAAUUUUUUUAUAAAAUUAGAAUUCUUUUUCAAUAUUGUCAUUUUUGAAUUUCUUAAUCUUUCAAAUUUGGUCCUCAUUCUUUUAAUUGUUAUUAUUUUUAUUUAAGAUAAUCUUUUAAAUUAAUUUUUCUUACAAUUUCAUCCUUAUUAGGCUUUUUCUAUCAAAUUUGAUCGUCAUUCUUUUGGUUGCUAUUUUUCUACUUUGAAAAUUUUUUCAAAUUCAUAUUUGUUUUUCGAUGUCAUCCUUAAACAUUAAAUUAGUUAAAAAUGGGGCUUCUUGAUUGAGCCGUAGUAUGAGAUUUCAAUGUUGAAUGAUAUUGUGAAUUUCACUUUUGCUUCUUCCAAACAUCAUUUUGUGUUAAAAUUGACUAAAAAAUAUGAAGUUCGGGAGUUGAUAAUAACUGGAGAACUUGAGAAUGUUAUAAAGGCAAAUGAAGCUUCUAUUUUACAUCAACCUGAAACAACUAGUUAGGAUUCUCAUUUUAGUUCAAUAAGGAGUUUAAUUGAGUUAUUUGAAACAACAACAACAACAUUGCUAUUAAAGAUUGAAGAAAAUGGACCAAACUUUCAAUUUCAUACUAAGGCUUUCAAAUAUUCUUUUGCCAUGACAACUUUUGACUUUGUCAUUGUCUUACUUUUUACUAACAAAGUUAUGAGAGUUUAUUGAUUUUCUUUAACAAACACUUCAAAGAAAAGAUUAAGAUAUUGUAUAUGCUUUAAAUUUUAUUUCAUAUUCAAAUUUUCAACUUCAAUGUUUGAGGGAUAGCGAUUGGGAUGAUCUAUUUAAAAGUUUGGUAUUUUUUUGUGGACAACAUGAUAUUGAGAUUCUUGAUAUAAAUUCUCCUUAUAAGAUUGAUACAAGUCGUUCUUAUUAAUAAAGAGAUUCUAAUAUAGUUAAGUAUCAUUAUCAAUAUGAUAUAUUUAACACUGUGUAAUAUAUUUUUAACUGAUGGAUUUAAAUCAUAUAUUUUCAUAAAACACAGUGGAGUUGCUUUAUCUUGGAUCAGCAUUGAAUCAUUUUUAUGCCUUCACAUCAUUUAAAAUUGACGAUACAUGUAAGUUUGCUGAGAAAUUAUAUCCUGAAGAUUUUGCUCUUAUGAAUUUACAUGGUUCAAGAAUACAGUUGGAAUAUUAUAAGUUGUCAAUGGAUCAUCCAAACUUUGAGAAUAUUGAUUAUCUUGCUACAUUGUAUCAUCGUUUAGUUGACACAUGCUUGACAAAUGAUUUGGACUUGGUUAGUAGAAUGAUUCGAAUGGUACUAGCUCUUCUUGUUUUUUCAUCAAUGACUAAACAAACCUUUUCAUCUAUGAAGUUCAUUAAAAAUCAGCUUUGAAGUAAAUUGGCCUCUUUAGGCCGACACCAGCACCGUCUCGUUGCCAUUAAGCCUGAGCUGUUCACAGUUGUAGAGAAAUUCCAUUUGCGUGAGUAGUAUUAAUCAAGAUAAUAAAUUUCAAACACCAUCAUCUUCUGGCGACCCUCGUCUGGUACAGCGGCUUAAGGAAAAUAGGAAGCCAAUGAGCUCAAGCAAAUGGACAUGUCCUUCAAACACGAGAGCACCUGCUAUUGCCCGGUCAUUUUACAUGGUCCCACCUAUGCUGGCGAUUAUUCAAUUCUUACUUGUGAGUUUCGUGAACAUUGUAGAAUUGCUUACUCUCCUGUUGGCUUGAAAUGAUUAAUUUUCUGGAUGAGUAUCUCAUAUGCAUUAAAUAAGUGGAUUUCGUUAAUUAUUCUCAUAAAUCUAAUAGUUUGUUUUUUGGUAAGUAAAUUCUGUAAAAUACUUAUAUAAAAAUAGCAUUAUUUAUUAUAGAAAUGUGAUGUAAAUGUCAUUGGUUCAAUUAUGUUAAUGGGUUCGUGAAAAACUCUAACAAGUUUUUUUUUUUUUUAAUUACGAAGAACUAGAAAGUGAGAAGAUUGGACUUAAGUUGCAUGUAUAUAAAAUUAUUAUAAAAAGUGACAUGAACAUUUUUAUACAGGAUAUUUAUUUUUAUUUUUAUUUUUAUUUUUUUAAAGUGAAUUUUAAAAAAUAAUUAAUAGGAUAUCACUGGUUAUUUAUUAAGCAUAAAAAAAUUUAUUUUUGAAAUCUUAAAUUUAUAUUAAUAUGGAAAAAAAUGAAGUUUAAAAAAUUAUGCUAUGUUUAUUUAAUCUUAAAUUAAAAAAAUAAAAUUAAAAAAAUUAGUGUUCACGUCAACGUGAACAGUGUGAGUGAAUAUUAAUUAAUUUACUGUCUAUUUUUUUUUGUUUAAAUAAAAUUUAAAGAAUUAUGCCGUGUUUAUUUAAUCUUAAAUUAAAAAAAGAAGAUAAAGAGAUCACAUUAAGAGUUUUUAAGUAAUUAGAUUAUGAAAACUUUUUUUGUUUUUUUGAACACAUCAAGAGCACUGAAAAACUAGUAAUAUUGUAACAUUAAAGCAUACGUUUCAGUAUUUAGUAUUGUAAAACUGGAAGUAAUUAUUAACAAUUAAUAAUUAACGGCACUACAUAUGCGAGCAGGCUGUCGUUUCUCAUUUUAAUUAUUUCAUCAGAAAUAACAUGUGCCAAUAAAUGUGAGGGUGCUUUUUCUGCUAGCUGCGGCAAGGUUUGUUGCCGACAGUGAUUUUGUUUUCGUUUUUUUUUUUUUUUGUUUUUUCCCUCAUCUUACACUGUUAUUCAAAAAUUUUAGAAUUGUCGGUGCCCGCAUUUUAACUUUGGAUUUUAUUUUUGUUUUUAUUUCUUUUAUAAAAUCUUAAUUUAUUAUUUAAUUUUAAUUUGUGAUAUAUUAUUUUUUUCAAUUUAGUCUUUAUUUUUUUAAUUAUUUUUUUUUCAAGUCCUUUUGUUAAAUUAAUUUUUCUUUUUGGUUUCAUACUUCAAUCAAAAAUUUAUUUUUAUUUUUACUUUAAUUAUGAUCCUAAUUAUUUUAAUUAUUUUUUUAUCCUUUUGUUAAAUUUAUUUUUCUUUUCAAUUUUAUCCUUCAAUCAAAAAUAAAAUUUAUUCUUUAUUUCAAUUUUGAUCAUCAUUCUUUUAAUUAUAACCUUUUGUUUUAGAUCCUUUUAUAUAAUUGAAAUUUCCUUUCUAAUUACAUCUUUCAAAAUUUGAUUUAUUAGGAAUUGAGUUUUUUGGUUUUUAGAUUGGGUGCUCGGGUUUUCUCUAUUUAUUUUAUUUUCGAUAUUGGUUUCUUCAAAAAGACUUGCUUUUGUGAUUUUAUUUUGUUUUCUUUUCUAUCAUAUUAUCUCAAUAUUAUAACUUGGAUUGUAUGUGUGGUGGGAUAACCUGGAUUGACUCAGCUCUGAUUACCCGAGUUACAUGUUUGUCAUGCUAACUCGGGUUGACACAAAUCAUAUUUUUAGAUUUUUUUUUAUCCAACUUCAUCCUUCCAUAUUUAAUGAACUGAGAAUUGAGCUACAUUAUUUGUUCCUGUUUAAAAAAAUAUUUUCUUCAUAGGUUAUCAUGAUCACUUUUUGAAAAAAAAAAAUGAUCAAUCUGCUAUCAUUGUUUUUUUUUUUAUUUAAUUAAAAUAAAACUAAAUUAUUUGAAUUAUUUAGGUUUAUGAUUGAAUAGCGGGUUUUUCUUCUUUGUUUAAAAUGCAUUAGUGGCAUCUAAACAUCAAUUUUUACAUAAAAAAAAUUAAUUUGGACAUGAACAUCGAAUUUCUUCUGCAUUAUAAAUCACAACAUUUCCAUGGCUUUCAAAGUUCAGGAAAAAAAAAAGAUUUUUGCUGGUGUGGAUAAUAAAUGCGAUCAAUACAGCCACACAUACAGAACUAGGCAGCAUCUUUAGUGCUAGAGACACCAUUAUUCAUGUUUAGUCAAAGGAAACUGUAACUGCAAAGCUUAUAAGAGAAAUGGAGAUUGUACAGUAAACCAUAGCGGGCAAUGGAAACAGAGACUGCAAUUAAAACAGGAGUGCAGGAAUUUAAAAAAUGAAAAAGAGGCAAAGAAAUCCCAAAUUCAAAUACAAAAAGAAUAGUAUCUUGAAAAUGAUUUUGAGGAAGAAAUACCUUCGACAGUUCCAAGAAAUCCACUGCAAUUAGUGUUGUGAGAAAUAAGGUUCAAUCUAGUCCCGGGAAGAACGGUUGGAUCAGAAUUGACAUCGUCAACAGCAGCAGCAAUAGCUGGCCCAGCUGCUCUCCCUAUCACUGAAUCGAAGGUAAACAAACUUCCUAUAUUUGCAACACUCGGUCGUGGAGAAGAAGAAGAAGAAACACUAGUUCCAUUUCCAUUUGCAGCUGCCUGACCAAAAACAACUUCCAUGGGCACACAAAUACCAGUAAUCAACAGCAGCAGCAGCAGCAACACUCUUUUCAUCAUCAAAAAUACUCUAGUAGCACAACCACCACCAGCAAUAUUCAAAGACACAUCCAUGGUAACUAACCAAGCUUGCAAUCAAAUUAAAAAUAAAUAAAUGAUUCUCCACGUCAAGCAACCAUUUUGUUUCUUCAAUGUAAUAAGUACCUGCCAAUGAUGAAACACAAGCAGAGACACAUGUUAAUGAACAUCGAAAGCCGAAUUAUGAAUAGCAACAAAAUAUAAUAAAGUAGAAAAACAAGCUGUGGAGCCCACAUGCAAGGGAGGAAAAACAAAGAAGGAAGGAUGUUGCGGUGUAGUGGAAUAUUUUGGUAUGGCUUUAAGCUUUGGCUUAGAUCAGAUUAGAUGUUAGCAUAUAUAAGUGAUUACCUUGAAGCCCAGAUACGGAAACUAGUUUGAACAGUUGAGUGCAUCAUAAUUAAGCUUUGAGGAUGUAAUGAAAAAACAAGGAUCAAGAGAGUGGACAAAAGCUCUAAACAGUCUUGCAAGCUCAAGUAAGGAAUGAUUCUCUCCUUUUAUGUCUGCUUGUUUUAUUAUUCUCUGGUGUGUUUAAGCUUUUUGCAAAGGACCAUGGCUAGCAUUUACUACAAUUUAAUAAUAAUAAUAAUAAUAAUAAUAAGAGUUAAAGUAACUCUAAUAUAAUAUCUUUGGGAUUCCACUCCAAACAUAUAUCAGUUAAAAUUAAUUAUUUUUUUAUAUUUUUAAAUCAUUAAUAUGUUAAUUUCAAAAAUAAUUUUAAAAAAUAAAAAAAAUAUUAUUUUAAUAUAAAAUAUUAUUUUAAUAUAUUUCUAUAUAAAAAAUACUUUAAAAAUAAUUAUUAUCACAUUCUCGAACACCUCUUAAUCUAAUUAUGAACCAAAUUUACUAUUCUAUAUUUCUUUGUGGAGUAGAAAUCCAUCAUGUGAUCCCUCAAGUUUUAAAAAUUAGCUAAAUCACCCUCUUUGUGUCAACUUAUUUUAGGAUUUCUUUUCUCUUUUUUGUUAUUAUAAAGGAGAGAUUCAAACUUAAAGCCUCUUAAAGGAGAGAAGACAGUGAUACUAAUUGAGUUACAACUCUCCUUUUUUAAAAGAAAAUAAAUUAAUAUGAGAUGUUAACCCUCGUGUUUUGAAUUUGUAGUCAAGCAUGUAUGUGGUCAACCCUGGCGACUACAAAGUACAAACUGAACUGUUGUGCCUAAAAUUAAAGUGUAAUGGUCGAUUUAAUCAAUUUCCAAAACUUGAGGUAUCAAGACAUGAAUUUACUUUUUAGAAGAAAAAAAAAUACAUCGAAUGACCCUUCUUGUCGUAGUUUUGAACCCGGCCCGGCCCGGCGGGUUAAUCCGGGGCUGGAACCGAUCCGGGUUGAAGAAAAAACGGGGGAAAGAAAAACCCGGUGUGACCUGGUAGGUUGACCCGGCGACCCAGUCAAGACCCGGUUGCAAACCCGUUGACUUUUGUUUUUUUUACUAAAACAACAUCGUUUUGAUUUAAAAAAAAAAACUGACCCGGCCGACCCGGUAAUCCAGUCAAAACCCGGAACCCGGAUCUUAGACCGGACCGGCCACUUGGCCAGGUCUUAAAACUAUACUUCUUAUUUUGAGAGUAAAUAAUCAUACUCGUAGAAGUUUGGAAGCAUUUCCAUUUAUUCCCAAAUAAUCAUGCCAUUCACGUAUCGUGUCUACUUGUAAUGUAUAUGUAAUAGUCAAUGUACCCAUGCCACGCUUUUGGUGGAAUUCCAAGUCAAUUUCAAAUGCAAAAGGAGAAUAUGCAUGUACUAUAUUAUAGAUGUGUUUUUUAAUCUCAUAAAAUUUGUUAAUUAAGGAAGGAAGGUUUAAUACAAUGAAUUGAAAAAAAUAUAUUAAUAGGUAAAUAAAAAAAUUAUGAAUGUUAAUUAAACAUUGAAUGUUAUUUUUUAAAAAUAAGAAGUAAAAUACAGAUACAAAUACAAACAUUUUACAUCGACAUCAUUUUUAUUUUAUUUAUUUAUUCUGAAGCUAUGAUUACUAAAUACAUAUGAAUUUUAAUUUUAUAAAUACAAAAUACAGAUAUAACUAAUCUAUCUUAAAUCUAAAAUAAAAAAUAAAAAAUAAAUUAUAAUAAUUUUUUUUUGAGGUAUUGCAAAAUUAUAGAAACCAACCAAAACUUUUAUUUCUAUUAAAAAUAGUCAAACUAAACAACUUUAAAAAUGAGAAAGAGGAAAUUAAUUAAGAAUUAAACUAGAAAAAAAAAAACCAAUGAAAAAAAAAGAGAGUCAAGGUUACUUGACCUAGAAGACUAAGCCCACCCAUUUAACCUAAAAGGCAAAAGCCUAUACGGCCCAGUUCUCUAUUCUUUUUUUUUUUUUUAAAAAGGGUAAUAUGUUGUCUUUUCAAAUAUUUUUUUAAAUUAAUCAAACGACAAGUCAUCUGUCUAGAUUGACAACAUAUCAUUCACCAUUAUCUUUUCUAAUCACCUUUAAUGAUCGAAAAAUUAGAGUUUGACUUUUUGUACUCACAAAAACAAUUUUCAACCUGUUUUUAUGAAAAACACCCCUAAAAUACUUGAAACUUCCAUAAACUCAUUCCAACCCUAGAACAUCAUCUAAUCACUAUAAAAAAUGAAAAUCUAAUAUAAGAAUAAAAAAGCUUUACGGACCCUAGUCAUCCUUUUCUAGCAUGUUCAAAGGGCAACACACCACCUUCAUUAAACUCUCCUAUCUAAAACGAACCAAUUAACACACUACACCAUUAAACAGUUUUACCGACAGAUUCAUUCCGUUGGUGUAAGACACACAACUCGUCGGUAAAAUAUUUACCGACGGAAUCCUUUUGUUGGAAUAUUGAUCGUCGGUAAUUCUCCUUUUUGUCGAUGAUUCUGUCGGAAAUAAAAUAAUAAAAAACAAACACCAACAGUCUUACAGACGGGGGAAGCGCGCCAAUUUUUUUUUCUCGCGAGAACUAUACCGACGGACGUGUUUGGUCUGUAUUUCCAACGGUAAAUCACCGACGGACUGGCCGUCAGUGAUUGUGGCAUGGACGGUAAAUAUUUCAAAACUCUCUGUACAAUAUCGACAAAUAUAUUUCGUCGGUAAUAUCAACAACAAACACCGACGAAAUAUAUCAACGGUACACCAAAAUCAGCCUUUUGUGUCCAAAAUAUGGCUUACCAUACCCUUUCUCUUUCCUUUACCUUUUUCCAAUAACUUUAUCUCCCCUUCCUACAACCAAUGACUGAAAUGUAAACGAAAAAAAAAUUAAAGUUUAAGAUUGAAAUAUAAGAACCUAAAACAACAAAGUUCAAAUAUGCAAAAAUUUUAAAAAAGUAAGGGACUAAAGUGAUUUUUUCCAUGUCUUUGGAUAGUAAAGAUGAAGAAAAGGCUCUGUUUUUGUUUAUUUUAUUUUUGGUAAUUAUUCUAACUUUUUUUAACAAUAACCUAAAAUUCCAUUUUGUAAAAUUUUUCUUUCAUGUAAUAUCAAAAUAUUCUUUAACAUCUCGCACACACGAAAGCAUGCGAAUAAAAAAAUGUCAAAAUAUAAAAUCAUGAUAACAUAACUUUUGAAGACGAGAUUAAAAAAAAACCUUUAAUGAUCAAAACAAAAUGAACUAAAAACUUGAGGGUCCUAGAUUGAAAAAUUGUCUAAUAAACAGGGAAAUGAGUGUUGAUAAGAACAAUGAUUUCCUAGACUUUUUUAGUUUAUUAAGUAAUAAUUACACAAAUAAGUAUUUUGUUUUUUGAGUUACAACAAAUAGGUUUGUUAAUACUUAAAAGUUAUUCAAAUAUCAAAGAUAAGAUUUGAUAAGAUCCAUUCAUAUAUCUGAACAAAUUAUGUCUCUUUAAAUCAAAAUUAAUUCCUUAUGCAAUUUUCCACAUAACAAAUACAAGUUAUACAACAUAUGAAACAAGAUGAACAUAACUUGAUUGGAUUAGCUUGAUAUGGAAGUAGCUUUUGUAUUCGUUCAAAUUAGAUCAGAUUGAAGAAUUUAUUCACUUGUUAAGUAAUCAUUAUCCAUUCUAUUUUUUUUUUCUAUUUAAAAAUGAAUAAAUAUGUUAUUUUUAAAAACCAUAUGAAAUCACAUAGUUAAAGUAUUGAAAUAAAUAAAUAUUUAUUCAUUAAGAUAAAAUACAAUAAUAAAAAAAUAUUAAGUGAUAACAUAUAAAAAUCUCCACUCCUCCCUUCACCUAACCUUGUAAAACAUGACUAAUUAACCAAUAGUUAUUUAAACCAUACAAAAACUAAAACCAGCUAUGUCAAAUGACAUUGGUAACCAAUAAGCCAAGUAAAAUCAAGUAUAAUUCAAUCCUUCUAUUUUAAUGAAACUAAUUAAUUAUCAUCAUGAGUUUAGAAACUAUAUAUUCAAUCUUGAAAUUUUAAAAUAUGUUUAUGCAUUAAUAAGAUGGACAAUCCAUAAUCUUGUUUUAUCUUUCUAAAGCUCAUGAUUACACCUCUAAACACUAUAAGAACUGAGGUAUUCAUUGUUAUCAAAGAAAAAUAAUUUGUAUAGUAUCCUCCUUAUAUGUGGGGUAAUACAUAUACAUAAAAUCUCAAUAAAUAUUGUUUAUUCAAUAAGAAUAUAAGACUUGACACAAAAGAUUACAAUGCCUUGAAGAAAUAGGUAAAUAUAUUAAUUUCUAAGGCUACAUCUAACAAUUUAUAUAUAAAAAAAUAGAUGGAGAACUAGUGUUCAUCAUUUAUCUUUACCUAAACUCCUUUCAUAAGCCUAUUACCUUUUAUACCUCAUGAUGGAGAACAAGUAUCAUUUCCAUAUGAGGAUGCUUUGGUAAUAAUCAUUGUCCUUUCCAAUUAUAAAGUAUAAAAUAUGCUCACGAUAAUGGAAACGUGGUGAAUAUUUUCUUAAGUAAUGUUGUAAAUGGAAAUUAACCCCUUCAAGUUAAUCCUUGUUAAAACGCCUCUAAUUGGAAUAAAAGGGAAAAAUUUUCUAAACAAAUGUUUUAUUGAUAAACUAGUAAACAUUGAAACUUAUUUCAAAAGUCUCUCUGCAACAAAUUUUUAUCGUGAUCAAAAUGGACUUGGCUUAUAACUUCAUCAAUGACUAGCCUCUUUUUCAUGGGAUUAGAAUGACAAUCAAUAUCAAAUAUCUAGUUAUGAAAUUUUAUAUUGAAAAAGGAGUUGUCACAGUAAAGAAAAAUCAAUUAAUCUUAAAAAAAUACUUCUCCAUUUGCCUCAAAUAAAGCUAUGUUUAUUGAACAAACAAGGUUUUUUAAAGAGAGGGCAAAGAUAUGGACUAAAGCCAUGAAAAGAUAACCAAUCGACCUCUAUGAAAUAUGUCUUCAUUUACUUUAAAGAUAAGAAAAUUAUGUUUAUAAAACAAAUAAGGCCUCCAAAAAAAGAGACCAAAGAUAUGAAUUGAAGCCAUAAAGGGAAAACUAAUUAGCCUUUAGGAAAUGCACCUUCACUUUUCUUAAAGGCAAGAAAACUAUAUUCAUUGAACAUAUAAGGCCUCUAAAAAAUAGACUAAUUAAAGAUAUUGACUAAGGCUGUAAAAGAUGAAAAAGAAGUAAGUCUCUUUGAACAUGAUACUAGUGUAAUUAUUAAGAUUAGAUUUGCAUUAGACAUCGAGUAGGAGAAAGCCAUCACGAAGCUUUUUAAAAUCCAAAGGGCUAAUUUCACUUUUAAUCCCUCAGAUAUUCUAAGUAUAGACUAGGAUGUGGCCUCCCAUAUAUCAAACAUCAAUUUAUCUCUCAUUUUUACUAGGAAAAAAAAAGAGUUUUAAGGUGAAAGAUAAAAGGUCAUAAUUGAGGAGGUAGAUAAGUUGCUAGAAGCAACUUUCAUUUGAUAAGUAAUGUACUCUGAUUAGCUUGCCAAUAUGAUUAUGGUGAAAUAAUAGUCUUGAAAGAUUAUCAUGUUCUUUUUCAGUCAUUGAUCUGUACCCAUUGCAUCUCCUCCUUUGAUGCUAUUAUAGUAUAAGAACAGUUGGCCUGAAAAACUAGUUUUGAUGUGGAUUUUUCGCUCUAUAUAACAGUAUGUUCAGUGCUGCAAAACGGUUAUUAUUUCAUCCGGGCAAGAGUACAAGUGAUAGGGUGUAAAGGAGGGGUGUUUUUUUUGUCUUAUGUAAAGGAGAAAGGAGGGAGUUUUAAACCUUGCACACACACACACAGAGAGAGAGAGAGAGCACAGUUGCCCAUUCAUUCUGUCUCACGGGAAGUUGGAGACAAUCUACAAUGCUUCCUAAAAUGACUUUGUUUCCUUUAUAUAUAUAUAUAUAUAUCAAAACGAGGUGUUUCAUUUAAAUGAAACAACAUCGUUUUGACGGUUAAGGUUUGAAUUAGGUUAAUUCUUCUUUUUCAAUUUCAAUCUUUCAAUUUAUUCAAUUAGGUCCUUAAUUGAAUUUUAGGAAUCAAUUCAAUUUUACCCCUAUAUAGUUUCAAAAACAUCCCCUGAUUUCAGUGUGUUUUUCAUCUUAGUCCUUGGUUUUGGAUUUAUAAAAAUUGAUCCUCAAUUGAUCAUUUAACCUUUGAUUUUCUUCAAUUUGGCCCAUGAUUUCAUCGAUUUUAGCCCCUGAAGUCUCGCGCCUCUAACAAGUCGGUCCCUGAUCUUGAAGUUCUUUGAUUUUGCUCUUAAUUGACCCUAAAACUUUAUUUUUCUUGCAAUGUUGUCCUUAUUUUCACCCAAUUGACUUUGUAAAAAUUAAAUUUUGUCCUCUAAAAUUUUAAUCUUCUCAAUUAAACCCAAAUUAGGCUUUCAAUCUUAAUUUUUCAUCAAUGAAGUCUCUAGUAAAAUUAAAUUGACCAAUUAAAAGUCUAAUUAAAUCUUUGCACUUAAUUAAAUGUUUUAAUUUGACCCAAAUUAAUUCUUAAACUUAAUUAAAUCUUUAAUUGGACCCAUAAUUAAAUCAAAUUGACCUAUCAAAAGUUUAUUAAGUCCUCAUACUUAAUUUUUAUGUAAAUUCACCUAAUGGUCAUUUAAUUUGGCCUUAAUUUGUAUUGUCUCUCAGUCUUGGAUUCAAUUGGUUUAAUUGGGCUCCAAAUUCUAUUCAAAAUCCUAAUUUAAUUCCUCCAUGUGCUUGAAAUCCUUCUUAGCCUACUCUUGCUAAUAUUUUUUUAUUUUCAUUUUUAUUGUUAUUUUUUGUUACUUCUUAUUUUAUUUUAUUUUAUUGUAUUUUGAAAAUAUUUAGAAACAGAGGGUCAAAAAUUGGGUUAUGACAGAACCAUAGUUUUCUUAUUUCUAUUUUGUGUAUCAGAUCUAGAACACCUUCUAAAACGUUUUGACACAAAUUAUUGAAACAAUGCUCAAUUACUCUUUGUGACAUACCUCGGUUUAAUCUCUUCCACUUUUCAAUGUCAUAUCAGAGCUGACUUUUCUAAUUACUUGUUUAUGGGUAUGGGUAUCGUACCAUAAAUCAUGCAACCUGUUAUAGAAAUUUGUUAAACAAAAAAAAGGCAAGGAAAUAAAAGAAUACAAGUUUACAAUAAUAUAACAUUAGUUGGUUUAAACAUACCUAGUUGCACAAUGGUUUUCCCACAGUCUCCUAACAAGUGUCUUGUUGCUUUUGUCCCACAAAAAAAAAUUUCUUAAUUGAUUUCAUACCUUAAUUAGUUUCCAAAAUUUUAAAAACUAGUAACUCAAAGUAGAUAUUAUUUAAUUAUCUAACCUUAAACUUUCUCCAUCAAACAUUUACCAUGUUCAUCCAUUCAGGAUGCUCAUAAAGCUCACUCUAUUAAAACAAUGGUUCUUUAAACAACCACUUCAUUGUAGAGGUAAUCGAACAUGCAACUUCAAUAUUAGUGAACUUGAAAACCAUUUCAUCAAUGUCAUUUUCAUGUAAUAUAAAACUUAAAAUAACUUAAUACAAUAAAUAACUUCAAUAUUGAGAUAAAAUAUUAAUUAUAUACAAUGGUCGCCUUUCCAUUAUGCAAUAAUUUUAUCUGAAAAAGGCCCUAUCAAAGAAGAGAUGCCUACUAUGUUGUCCUUAUUGGUUAAGCCUUGAUCAGUAACUUUUACAUUAAGUGGUGUGUCCUUAUAAUCAUCAUCUAUAUUAGCAACACAAUCACCGACACUAAUACUUGAUAAAGUAGUAGCGCUCUUAUUAGACUUAAACAUAUUUCUUCUUGAAUAUAUGGUACCAAAAAAGAAACAAUAACAUAAUGACAACACAUACUCAUGAAAUUUAAAUUCAAACUCAUAUAAGCCAAAUUUUAUUUUGCCAAAUUUUCUAAUAAACAUGCUAAGAAAAUUAACACACAGAGAGAGAACAUAAAACAAAAAAUAAAAUAUUCAAAUAUGACUCUAUAACCAUAUAAAAAUAGCAUCUCACUUCAUCAAAAAAUUAACCAAUUACUACAUUUCCUUUCAUAGAUAACACAUCUAAAUUAGUAAUAGCCUUCACAUUUUUAUUUGUGCUACUCCACAACAAGUACAUUUAAGGAAUCCAAAUCAAGCAAAAAAUGAUAACAUUAUCCCUACAUAUAAAAAAACCAUAAUUUCUCAUUUUCCCGUACUUUCUUAGCUACCAAACAAAUAGGUUACUUACAUAAACAAUAAAAAAGAAAUCAUAUUACUAAACGAACAAUCCCCCCCUAGUCACAUAAACUUAGCCAUAAAUUAUCUUCUCUUCACUUCACUAUUUAACCAACCAAGAAACCAUAAUUGAUACUUAAACAAACUCUCUUCACUUCACUAAUCUCUUUUUCUUAGUUAGCUAAAUACUUAAAUUAUAAAUUAUAAAUCAUUACCCCACUUUUCCACCAACCAACCACGAACCCAAAUCAUCAAUAAAAAUAAUCCUCCACUAAACCAAGUAAAAAAAUAAACAUUUAAAACAAUACCUAAAAUUCAAAAAACAAUCUUCCUAUAUUACCAACAUGCAAAAAUUAACAAAACCCAAAAAAACCUAAAUCACAUAAACCAAAUAGCAAAUAAAUUACCUUCAAAUCGGGUAAAAACCAUAGCCCAAACUUAGGAUUUAACUAUGCCAAGUCCUUAGUUUAUUAAAUAAAAAAGAAGAAAUUAAACUUGAGAUGGGUAGAAAAGAGGUAUUAUCAAUGUGGGAUGUGUGAGUGGGGUAGGGGUUACUGUUGUUGUUUUGAUGAUGAUGAAUAACAAGAAGAAGAGGAAGAAGAAGAAAAAGAAAUAGGAAGAUGAGAGGAACUCUUGAGUUUUAAUUCAUUUUAAAAACAUAAAUGAAAAUUCAUUUAGUAAUUUAAAAAUAUUAAAAUACCAAUGUAAUUGUCGAUAAAAUAUUUUUAUUUUUUAUUCUGUUUAUUUUUUCCCAUAAAAAAUUACUGAAGAAAAUCUUUCAUCGUAAUUUCCAUCAGUAAAUAAUUAUGAAACAUUUUUUGUCAUGUUUUUGUUAUUAGUGUAUGCCCACAUCUAUUUGUUUUUGUUACUAUUCUCCAAUUUUUUAGUGGUGUAUGCUCAUGUCUAUGAGCAAGUUGGUUUGUUUUUGCAAGUAUAAAUACUUCAUGAAAAUGUCCGGCAAGGGAGGACACAAAAAAAGAAAUAGAUAGACUCCUACAAGGAGAAAACAUUCUCAUGUGCGGAAAGGUCCAGAAUCCAUCAAGGUUUUCAGCAAGGAAGGAAGAUGAUAAAAACUCUUGCUUAAAAUGAUUCAUGCAUGCAUGUCAUAUAAAAAAGAGAAAAGAAGAGAAAAAUCUUUUGAGAGACUACGACCGUGUCUUCAUCACAAAAUUGGAAAUUGAUUAUCAUCUUUAUAAAUUUAAGAACUCGAGGUCAGUCGGAGCACGUUGCAGGUGAAGUGUUGAACAAUCAAACUGUGAAUUUAAAGGACGAAGGUAGAGUAUACGAAGGUGGAAGUUUCUGACUCAAAAUAAACUUUAUUUAUAUUACAAUCCAUACAAAAAUACCAAAAUCUAUUCAAAAGAUACUCCAAAAAAGAAAAAGAAAAAGAAAACAAAACUGUAGUUAAUUGAGGUGGUGGGGCUGGGACCAAGGUUGUUAAAAUCGCGAUUCAACUCGUAAAAUCGUACGUUUUUACGAGUCAAUAUAGGCUUUACGUGCUAAAUCGUUCACAAAACUCGGAAAUGGGUAAAAUCGGGUCAAAAUCGGGUAAAAUCGUUAAAAUAGGGUGAAAUCGCUUAAAAUCGCGAUUUCACUGCCGAUUCAACGAGUUUGCCCGCAGGAGAUAAAACAGCAAUGUUGAUGACUGGUGUCAACCGCCUAUUGGCUUUAACUGAGCAAAAGUGACAAAUUGACAAUUGCAAAUUCAUCGAGGAUGCACUAUGCAGUCUUCUCUUCACAUUUCUGAUUUCACCAUUCACGUUCAGAACAGAAAAAAUCCCUAAAUUGAAAUCCAUAAGCAUACCAUCAAGCCAUGAAGUUUGGAAAAGAAUUCAAGACCCACCUAGAAGAAACCCUUCCUGAGUGGAGGGACAAGUUUCUCUGCUACAAGCCCCUCAAGAAACUCCUCAAACAAUUACCUUCCACCGUUGAUUCUCCAUAAUUUCUUCACUCUCUGAUCAUGGAAGCAGACGACUUGUCAGUCCUUCACAAAUCACUCUUCGAAGACAAACUCUCUGCCACCGAUCUCUUCUUACAAAAACUCUGUUCUGAUACUUCCAUCAAGUCAGCCCUCCAACGAUUCUACUCGAUUCUAAAACGCGGCGUUUCACUGAUCGAUGAUGAUGCUAAUAAUAGUGAACGCAAGUUAGGGUUUCAAUUAUGGACCGAUUCGCAAAUUCAAUCUGUCGUUUCACUCGGUAUCGCCAUCGUUUCGUCUUCUAGAUCUCUGUCAGGUUGUCUUUUUUACUCGAUUUCCACUUUUAUUUAUUGAUAAUUCUUUUAAUUCAUUUUUCUGUAUGGUUGAAUUUUAAUUAGCAGUUCAGUAGUUAACUUGCUAAUAAUUUCGAUUUUAUUUUAUUUAUUGAUAAUUUUUUAAUUCGCUUUUUUUUUGUAUGGUUGAAUUUUAAUUAGCAGUUUAGUAGUUAACUUGUUCAGUUUUUUUUUUAAUUUUUUCUAAAUAUUAAUUUUCAACUCCAUCCACGCCCUCCUCCGCUCACUGGUGAUGUUCAUGGUAAUACGAAUAGGACUUUGGUGGAUUUGCAAGAAUGGUUUGUUAGAAUUCUUAGUGAAGAGCUUGACAAGUUCAAUGAUUUCUAUGUUGAUAAAGAAGAAGACUUUGUUAUACGCCUUCAGGUUUCUUUCUUGAUUUUUCUUUUCUUUCUUUGUUUUACAUGUUUAUAGCUUUGUGCAUAUGGGUUUUUAAUUUCGAGGCUUUUGUUUAUUAUAGCUCUGGGAAUUUAAGGUAUUGUGGUUUGAUGGUGGCUUUUAAGGUUUUUUCUAUAUGCAUGUCUUGUAAAUCCGAACUCAUAGGUCUGGUUUAAGGGUUUUGUAAGUUUUUGAAUAAUCAGGAGAGGAGUAGAAUGGAGAAGACAUCGUGACUUCAUUGGAACAGGAGAAUAGUGGGAUGUCAAGGAAAAAAGACGCAUAAAAGUGGCUUUCCUUUCCCUGGUAGUGCUGGGUGGUGUUGUCAGAUAGUAUGUGAAGAGGAGAUUGUCGAUGGGAUUGGAGGGGCUUGAUAAAGUUAAGAAUAACUUUUCCAGUUUGUGGAACUUGCUGAAGUAGAGCAGAGUAUUUUGUAGUAUAGUUAUAAGGCCAACCAUCGUCAAUUAUAGCUGACAAUAGGAUUGUUGGAAGUCAGUUGAGGGAAUUGAGGGUGCUGAAAUGAGGAUAUUGAAAUGAAAUGCCAGGUCAUCAAUAUAUGAGAAUUCUUGGGUUAUAACUUAUGAUGAAUGGAUUCUGUCUAUUAUUUGUAAUUUGGAUGAAUGGAUUCGACGAAUGAAUUCUGUCUAUUAUUUGUAAUUUGGAUGAAUGGAUUCUGUCUAUUAUUUUCUGAUUGGAUAAUAAUAUAGAAGAUGGGCUGUUAUGUAUUAUGUUUUUUUUUGACAAAAAUUUAAUUACAAUUAUAAAAUGUUUGGAUUGAUUACAAGGCUGAUUUGAAUUGAUUCUUGAAUUUUUAUUUGAAGCAUGAAUUUUUUUAAUGUAUUUUAAAAUUCCUUACGAUUUUACGAUUUUACGAUCCGUUUUUACGAUCCGAGUUUGUUUUGCAUUUUCCGUGCCGUGUUAAAAUCGCGAUUUUAACAACCUUGGCUGGGACCUCAGUACCUGGUCCUUUCUUUUAUAGCUGUGUGAUAUUUGUCAGUGAAGGUAAGGCCCCCAUGCAGAUGUCCCUUUUUCACUCUUUUUUCUUUUUCCCGACCCCAGAUAUAUGUGGACUGUUUCAUGUUUAUUUUAUUGGACACAUGUAAUAUUUAAUCAAUCUUUGGACAUGUUGUUGCCUCUCUUUUCAUCAUAACUUUUGGGUGUUAAUGAGGGUUGCUUGCAGCAGCAGAUUUAAAAUAAAAAUAAAUAAAUUUUCAUAAAAAAAAAACACGUUGAACCUCAUCCACGAAUAUUAGAUAUGCGUUUACAAUCUCCACGUCUCGUGAUGCUGUCAGACAAAAUCUCCCAUAUUAUAGUAGAUCCAACUCUGUUUUGUGUGGUGUGGCUUCAAAGAUUUUAGCUCAGCCCCACGUUUACAAAAGUUUAUUGUUGCAAUAAAAAAAGAACAUAAUUAGAUGGCAAAAUCUAAAUUAGACCAACCAUAUUAGCUCGAUGUGUGAAUGCAGAUUAGAGAUGCAUCCCAUUAUCUAUGAAAGCUCUUCAGAAUACUUUUAAAAAUGAUACAGAAAGGGAGAGCAUUCCCGCACCCAAUUACAGCACAGGAGCAAGCUCUUACUGGUUCCAACUUCCAAGCCUUAACCCCAAGGAUGGGUCGACGGUCAGCUUGACUUGCUAGCAAUUGAAUUUUAUGUUUUGAAAAAUUGAUUUGAUGCCUAAUAACCAACCAAUGGUAUGCCCCGCAGUGUUUGUCAGGCUAAGCAUAUAUUUCCACGAAAAAAAAUGACAAUCACUACGCUCGCAAUGAUCACCACUUAAAAAUGAUACAGAAAGGGAUAGCAUUCCCGCACCCAAGGGCAGAGGGCAUGUUAAAGGAUACAUGUAAAGAUUUUAUCAAUAUUUUUUAACUAGUUUUAUAUAAAAAUAAAUUUAUAAUUAAUAAUUGAGUUGUUAAAAAAUUUUAAAAAUUUACGUGGAGCCUUUUAAUAUGAUGCUUUACCUUUGGUUAAAAUUUCAGAAUUUUUGAAGAAAUUCAGAGAUUUAAUGAAAAAUCACAAUUUAACUAGUUUUACCUUAUUGGACGUAAUUUUCAAUACGACCAUCAGAUUGAGCUGAAGUUUUACGAGGGAUCUUAAAAUAUAUAGAAUAAAAUCUGGUUAAAAUUUUAGGAUGAACAGAGUUUUAUUUGCCAUUAAAAAAUAAAACAAAUCAACUCUUUCUUUUUUUCAUAUGUUGCCGACCGGUCAAAAGUAGAAUAAAAAAAAAACCAAAAGAAAAAGUGUGAGAGAAAGAGAGAAAAGUAAGGGAAAACUAAAUAUAAAAAAAAAUUCAAGGAAAAAAAAUAAGAAAAGUGAGAGAAUAACCUUGUAAACUUACAAAGUCCAACUUAUAAAACACUAAUCUAAGGAAGAAUCAAGUGAAGGAAGGAGGAAUUGAGAGAGGAAAAAAAUUUAAUUACUUUCUUUUCCAGUUGACAUGAGAUUGUUAUUUUAUCUCGGUUGAGGGGUUGUUAUAAUAUUGAUUCAGAUUCGAUUAUAGAUGAAUUAUAUUUUACAAAACAUCGAAGGAUGUAACUUCAAUAGUUGAUUUAUUUUUACUUUCACUUCAAUUUUAUGUACUUUCAAAUUUAUUUUUUAAUAUUUUAGGUAGUGUAUUUGAAUUAAAACUUUACUGUUAACUUUAAAAAUUCAUGUACAUGAGUUAAUAAUUAAUUUUAAAAAUAUAUAUAUAUUUAAUUAAUAGCUCAGGGCAAGAAAAAUUCCUGACUCGCCUUGCCCGCACCCAUUUACAGCACAGGAGCAAGCUCUUACUGGUUCCAAAUUCCAAGCCUUAACCCCAGGGAUGGGUCGACGGUCAGCUUGACUUGCUAGCAAUUGAAUACUAUGUUUUGAAAAAUUGAUCAGGUCGUCUGUAUCCUAAUAACCACCCAGUGGGAUGCCCCGCAGUGUUUAUCGGGCUAAGCAUAUCUUUCCACGAAAAAAAAAUCAAUGUGCAGUCAAUUUAUUAGUAUUGGGAUGAUAGGUGGGCAGUUUUUUUUAUGAACGAAGGCUGGUAGUUAGGUGGCUAGUGCAGAAUUCUGGUAUAUUAAUUUGUCCUGGCUCAGAGAUACUUUUCAUUGUUGAAGCCUGAAGAAGAUGUCCAAUCCUAAACAUGUUUUCCUACAAUAUCUUGGUCCUGUUGGCUACAUCACAGAAACAAGAGCACUGCAAGAGUAAAAUACUCAUCAAUGACAUCAACUUGCAAGCGACAGCCGCGACUGCCACAUCCAACUAUCCAUAAUACCAAAUUUUAUUCUAGGAUUUGUUGGAAUUAUAUAUUUUGGAGAUUUAUAGUUCACCUUUCCAGGUGUUUUUUUAGUAAUGGUCUAUUUACUUAAUUCAUUAGGAUUUAUGCUAAAUAUCCUUGAUUAUAAUAAAUAUAUAUGAAGAAUUAUGGACUACAUGUAUGUUUUGGUUAUUUAAAUGAUGCAAGCUUGAAACCUUUUCUUAUAGGAUUAGGUUUGUUUAUCUAGGAUUUGUUGAUUAGGAAAGAAUUAGCUUGACUAAGAUUGGGUGCUUUAUGUUAAACUUGGAUUAAUUUUUUUGUUUUAAAAGAAAAAAAUCAACAAAAUCAUUUAUUUUUAAGGAUUAACGUGCGUCAAAUUUAUCGACGAGUCUUCUAUUCAUAGGAACCAACAUUAUUUUUAAAAAUAAAUCAUGAAUAAGUUUAGAAAUAUAUCUAAGUAAUUAAUGGCAUGUAUAGAAUAAAUUUAUGAGAAAACACAUAGUAAAAUAACAUUUUUUUUCAUUUGAAAAGAUAUUGUAAAGGUGAUAUUUAUCUUUUCUUAAGCAUAAUUAACUAACUUAGUAGCUGAAUCUUUGAGACCGGUGUCAAUUUUAGAAUUUUUAGUUUUUUUUUUAAUUAUAUCAUAUAUAUUCAUAGUGAUGUGAUAACUAUGUUAAUGUACGAAACCGGGUUAGAUUUAAAAACAUUGUAGAAUAGAUCCCAUGAAAACAUAUAACAUUACUUUAUAUAAUAUUACAUGUGAUGGAAACAGGUACUAAAGCAGGCAUAAAAAAAAGUAAAAAUAACCAUCAUAAUAUUUCAUUACUAAUUAUUUGUCCAUUGCAUAGAGAAAUAACAUAAUAUUAAUGGGUAGAGAUAACAUAUAUAGUAGUGGAUAAUAUAUAUAUAUAUAUAUAUAUAUAUAUAUAUAUAUAUAUAUAUAUAUAUAUAUAAUUUGCAAUAUCAUAGAGGUGAUAUGCAAUAUCUAAACCCUUUCAUGCAUAUAUAAUUAAGGCAAGGCUAGCAACAUAAGACAGCUAAAUAUCCAUUAGAAUUUUAAUGGAGUCUUGAUGACCAGAGGUUUGAACCCAUGUUGGAUACUUGCUUGCCAAACUUUGUCAAUGUCAGCCAUGGUAGAACCGCAUUCAUGCUCGUCCCAUCCUUCCAAGGCAUGCACUAUUCCAGCCACACGCCAUGCGCUCAUCACUCUUCUUGGCAGCCAAUUCUGUCAUCAAGUAUUUUGCAAUACAAAUUAAUUAUCUUUCCUAAAUUAAGAAAAUAAUGCAAAUAGUACUUUAAUUUUCUGCAAUAUUUGACUAAUUAAUUACCUCGCAAGAGUCCACAUUUUCAAGAGAUGCAGGGGCUGCCAUUACUGGUAUGCUGUGAUAGAAGCAAUCCUUGCGCAAUUUCUUUGGGGGAAAUUGCGAGAAGGGAAUAAAUAAUGUUCCUUCUGCUGCUUGUUUUUGGUCCUCUUCUUUCAAUCCAUCCCCAACUAACCACGUCUACACAACAAAGUUUAUUAUGAUAUUAGAAAUGUCAAUAUAUAUAUAUGCUACUUAAAUAAUUUAAGUUGUAAUUUUAUUUUAUUUUUGACAAAAAAAAAUUGAUUUCUAAUUCCUUGGUAGCUAAUGAAAGCAUACCUUUAUUGAAUAACUCUUUGAAAGAAUUAGAUUGUUCUGAUCAGAUGUGAUGCCGAAAGAUUUUUUAAGUUUCUGGUAAUCAUCCUCACAUGGUACAACUACCUAAAAAAUCAGUGAAAAUAAUCGUAAUAAUUAGGAAUUAUAAAUUAAAACAUGACCAUAAAUUAAAUUUGCCUAUACAAUCAAUUUAAAUAAAUUACUGUCAAAUUGAAGCAAGUGACAACCUGUGCCUAUUUGCCUAGUAGACAACAACAAUACCUGGAUUCCCCUCUGGCAGAGAUUUAAAGCAACAGCAUAGGCAACCUUAGAGAGAUUGCCUCUAUGAAGCACUUGUGUUGUUCCUUUAGGUAUGCUAUUCAGCACUGCAGCAACGGCUAGACUGCUUCCAUCCACCACCUUCGUUUUGAGCCUGGGAUGCCUUUGCACAUAAAGUUCACCAUACCUAUUAAGCUCCUCUCCCUGCAUAAUUUAUGUUUGAACAUGAUGAAGAUAUAAUUAAUAAUUUAUGGUAUCCAUGAAAUAUGGGAAAUUGAAAAGAAAAAAAAAAACCCUAUAAACUCAACUACGUGGCAUCUAGUAAUGGCCGUUCUAAAGUAACCACCACUGUUUUUUUUUCCCUAGAAAUGCAUUAUAUUGAAGUGCUUGCCUGAUUCAAGAGACCGAGACUUAACACUUUAACACCUUUUUCCUCAGCUUCAAGUACAGCUUCUUCAAUCAAGGUAUUUAUGGAUACUUUUUGCCAUCGCAAGUUGUACUGCCAAAAAUUAGAUAAGCAAAUUAAGGAGAACAGAUUAAACUGAACGCCCUUGAUUAAUCAAUGACAAAGAAAUAUCCUUCUUAAUUACUUGAAUAUUGUAUUUUGGUAAGGUCCACGUCUGUAAUCUGAGUUUGUGGAAGCGAUUCCUCUCGACAACAAAAGUGCGUCCAUAAGUCCAAGUUAACAUCAUGGUCCACAAGGUCACCGGCCACAUUAACCAUAGAUACCACUUCGAUUCUUGAGGGUUGGAAGCCAAGCAGGCAAGUCCAAGCCGUAAAUGAUAGAUGGAAUCUGGUGUGGUAAGAUGAGUUAGAUGCACUACAUCAGGGGCUUCCUCGGGUCUCUUGAGCGAAUCU
Molecule: long non-coding RNA, 24970 nt
Filed under: Populus trichocarpa (black cottonwood)
Lineage: Eukaryota; Viridiplantae; Streptophyta; Magnoliopsida; Malpighiales; Salicaceae
Description: long non-coding RNA (PTRI_LNC003341)
Source: RNAcentral